GACGAACGCUGGCGGCGUGCUUAACACAUGCAAGUCGAACGAUGAACCACUUCGGUGGGAUUAGUGGCGAACGGGUGAGUAACACGUGGGCAAUCUGCCCUUCACUCUGGGACAAGGCCUGGAAACGGGGUCUAAUACCGGAUAACACUCCUGCUCUCAUGGGCAGGGGUUAAAAGCUCCGGCGGUGAAGGAUGAGCCCG
This 200-nucleotide ribosomal RNA is filed under the name uncultured bacterium. Its description in RNAcentral is "partial 16S ribosomal RNA". It matches the Rfam family "Bacterial small subunit ribosomal RNA", at positions 28 to 233 of the family's 1533-position model. The record is from RNAcentral.